This 1203-nucleotide long non-coding RNA is filed under the name Homo sapiens (human). RNAcentral describes it as "long non-coding RNA NONHSAT176464.1". The record is from RNAcentral. Lineage: Eukaryota; Metazoa; Chordata; Mammalia; Primates; Hominidae.
UUCAAAAAGUCUCGUGGUGGAACAUCUGACCCUUUUCAAGAGGAAGGAUGAAAACUCUACAUAGGAACACGAUGUGAAUGGAAGAAACCUGUCAUUAGAUGCAAAUAGUACGGUAUUCCGAACAGACACUAAAAAUAGCUGUCAUCUCAAAGAAUCCAGUGCUUGUGUCACAGUAUGAGAAAGUAGAUGCUGGGGAACAGCGUUUAAUGAAUGAAGCAUUCCAGCCAGCCAGUGAUCUCUUUGGACCUUGCAUUCUCCAUCAGAUUGGAUCACCUCCCACCCUGAGGCCCCCCAAGACUUUGAACAGUUCUUCAGUCAUCCUUACAGAAAGAUACCCUCUCCAGACAAACGCAGUAUUUAUAUACGGUCCAUUGGAUCUCUAUGAAGCACCAGAAUUAUCAGUGAAGAAUAUAUUAAAUGGCUCACGGGCUACUGUAAAGCAUAUUUCUAUCGCUUGAGAGUAAAACUGCUAGAACCAGUUCCUGUUUCUACAACAAGGUGUUCCUUUAGAGUCAAUGAGAACACACAAAACCUACAAAUUCAUGCAGGGGACAUCCUGAAGUUCUUGAAAAAGAAGAAACCUGAAGAUGCCUUCUGUGUUGUGGGAAUAACAAUGAUUGAUCUUUACCCAAGAGACUUGUGGAAUUUUGUCUUUGGACAGGCCUCUUUGACAGAUGUCUGAAACUUCAGUUUCUCAAGUAUUUGACCUCCAGCCCAUUAAGUUUUACAAGACAAGGCAUGGUGGAUAGCAGCAAAGGAUUUUGAUAGGGAAAUCUGGGGCUUCUUCCACUUGGAAGAAGCUGACCGGCGCCCUCUAAACCUUUGCCCUAUCUGUUUGCACAAGUUGCAGUGUGCUGUUAUUGGCUUCAGCAUUGUAGAAAGAUAUAAAAGGCACUGGUGAGGUGGAUUGAUGAUGAAUCUUCUGGCACACCUGGAGCAACUCCAGAACACAGUCGUGAGGAUAAUGGGAAUUUACUGAAACCCGUGGAAGGAAGCCUUUAAGGAAUGGAAAGAGUGGAUAAUAAAAUGCCUGACUGUUCUCCAAAAAUAAGGACCUUCAAAUAGGAGUGAUUGAAAUAAAUGACUACUUGCAUGUUAUGCUUUCAUUUGGGUGGAAUACUUCAUCAGAAUAAACUAUUGAUCUUGUGCUGUGUCAAAGUAACAGACUAGAACCUUCUUUCAAGUACCUGAAUUGAAAUGAAA